Molecule: long non-coding RNA, 825 nt
Organism: Dromaius novaehollandiae (emu)
Lineage: Eukaryota; Metazoa; Chordata; Aves; Casuariiformes; Dromaiidae
Exons: 3
Source: RefSeq, a predicted model, not a curated record
GAGAAACGGAGCAGCUUUGUCCCAGCGUUCAUCUUCAGAGUUUGGGAGAGAUCAUGGCUGCAUCAACCUGCCCUUGCCUCCCUUAAAAUGUCCUCAUGCUCUUUCUGCACAGGGUGCUAGUGCAGCUCAUCUUGCAGCUCUUUAAGGGUAAUUGAGAGAUGCUGCGACCGCUCAGUCCCACCGUGGUGCUCCAUAGAUUUUCUGCUGACAGUGUCAGAUGGUGUGGCCAGUUACUAAAGAUACAGCACUAUGGAAGUGAAGAGACAGCAGUCCAGACAGCAGAAAUGACAGGUCGUGGAGUGGGCACUUCCUACGAGACAGGAAGCCGUAUCAACCUUUAUAUGGAGCUCUGGCUGGCUGCAGACUUUCAUGUGCUCCUUUGUACUUUUAUUGCCGCAUUGUGUGUCGUGGAGGCGCAAAGGGACUGAUACAAUUGGCAAGAAAACACGCUGUGAAAAAACUGUUCAUGCAGCUUUGCAUUUAGUGUGAAGUGCCACCAUCAAACAAAAGUCUCUGGCUGAGUUAUGAAGAGCCUCGUGAUGCAAGCUGAAGCACUUGGAAUACCAGGCGCGCAUAAUCACUGGAUACCAGAGACACACAGCUAAAUAAGUGUGGAUCACAAAUGAUGUUCCUGCAGUGUCUCUGUGAGGAAAAAAAAAGUAGCUGGCAGAAACCCGAACUACCUAAGAUGCAUCUUCAUUGAUCUGUUUACUGUUUCAUGUCAUGCCUUAAAUGUCUAGUGUGGUUAUAAAUGGGAAAUGUUAAGGGAUAUCUGAGGAUAGUGUAACUUUCUGUUUUUAUUUAUUUUUUAAUAAAACUGAUUUG